Molecule: non-coding RNA, 45 nt
Filed under: Schistosoma mansoni
Lineage: Eukaryota; Metazoa; Platyhelminthes; Trematoda; Strigeidida; Schistosomatidae
Source: RNAcentral
AUUCAGCUGAUGAGUCCCAAGUAGAGCGAGAGGCGCGUCCCGGAU